Molecule: ribosomal RNA, 500 nt
Filed under: uncultured bacterium
Lineage: Bacteria
Description: partial 16S ribosomal RNA
Rfam family: Bacterial small subunit ribosomal RNA
Source: RNAcentral
GACGAACGCUGGCGGCGUGCCUAAUACAUGCAAGUCGAGCGGACUGAUUAAGAGCUUGCUCUUAUGACGUUAGCGGCGGACGGGUGAGUAACACGUGGGCAACCUGCCCUGUAGAUCGGGAUAACACCGAGAAAUCGGUGCUAAUACCGGGUAAUAUCUGAGAUCACAUGAUCUUAGGUUAAAAGAUGGCUCCGGCUAUCACUACAGGAUGGGCCCGCCGCGCAUUAGCUAGUUGGUAAGGUAAUGGCUUACCAAGGCGACGAUGCGUAGCCGACCUGGGAGGGUGAGCGGCCACACUGGGACUGGGACACGGCCCAGACUCCUACGGGAGGCAGCAGUAGGGAAUCUUCCGCGAUGGACGAAAGUCUGACGGAGCAACGCCGCGAGAGUGAUGAAGGGUUUCGGCUCGUAAAGCUCUGUUGUUAGGGAAGAAACAGUACCGAACGAACUAGGUCGGUACCUUGACGGUACCUAACCAGAAAGCCACGGCUAACUACGUG